This 1174-nucleotide ribosomal RNA is filed under the name Bacillus sp. (in: firmicutes). RNAcentral describes it as "bacterial SSU rRNA". It matches the Rfam family "Bacterial small subunit ribosomal RNA", at positions 81 to 1163 of the family's 1533-position model. Lineage: Bacteria; Bacillati; Bacillota; Bacilli; Caryophanales; Bacillaceae. The record is from RNAcentral.
CGCCCCCCCGUUUUUUUCGGACGCCCUGAGUAACACGUGGGUAACCUGCCUGUAAGACUGGGAUAACUCCGGGAAACCGGAGCUAAUACCGGAUAGUUCCUUGAACCGCAUGGUUCAAGGAUGAAAGACGGUUUCGGCUGUCACUUACAGAUGGACCCGCGGCGCAUUAGCUAGUUGGUGAGGUAACGGCUCACCAAGGCAACGAUGCGUAGCCGACCUGAGAGGGUGAUCGGCCACACUGGGACUGAGACACGGCCCAGACUCCUACGGGAGGCAGCAGUAGGGAAUCUUCCGCAAUGGACGAAAGUCUGACGGAGCAACGCCGCGUGAGUGAUGAAGGUUUUCGGAUCGUAAAGCUCUGUUGUUAGGGAAGAACAAGUGCAAGAGUAACUGCUUGCACCUUGACGGUACCUAACCAGAAAGCCACGGCUAACUACGUGCCAGCAGCCGCGGUAAUACGUAGGUGGCAAGCGUUGUCCGGAAUUAUUGGGCGUAAAGGGCUCGCAGGCGGUUUCUUAAGUCUGAUGUGAAAGCCCCCGGCUCAACCGGGGAGGGUCAUUGGAAACUGGGAAACUUGAGUGCAGAAGAGGAGAGUGGAAUUCCACGUGUAGCGGUGAAAUGCGUAGAGAUGUGGAGGAACACCAGUGGCGAAGGCGACUCUCUGGUCUGUAACUGACGCUGAGGAGCGAAAGCGUGGGGAGCGAACAGGAUUAGAUACCCUGGUAGUCCACGCCGUAAACGAUGAGUGCUAAAUGUUAGGGGGUUUCCGCCCCCUUAGUGCUGCAGCUAACGCAUUAAGCACUCCGCCUGGGGAGUACGGUCGCAAGACUGAAAUCAAAGAAAUUGACGCGGGCCGCACAAGCGGUGGAGCAUGUGGUUUAAUUCAAGCAACACGAAGAAACUUACAGGUCGUGGACUUCCUCUGACAACCUAGAGGAUAAGGCUUUGCCUUCAGGGACAGAGUGACAUGAUAGUUGCAUGGUUAGUUAUCGACUCAUUUCCUGAAUAGAUAGUUUAGAUACUGCUAAGUGCAACAACCUUUAUCUUAGCUGGCAGCAUUCACUGUGGCAGUCGUAAGGUACUGGCCGGUACGACGAACGAACAGGAAUGAGUCGAUCACAAUGUCCCAGUUAGACCUUGGUCAUCGUCAGUAUCACAUGACCUGAUGCUCGAC